RNAcentral lists this ribosomal RNA (468 nucleotides) under uncultured bacterium. RNAcentral describes it as "partial 16S ribosomal RNA". It matches the Rfam family "Bacterial small subunit ribosomal RNA", at positions 28 to 507 of the family's 1533-position model. The record is from RNAcentral.
GACGAACGCUGGCGGCGUGCUUAACACAUGCAAGUCGAACGGAAAGGCCCUGCUUUUGUGGGGUGCUCGAGUGGCGAACGGGUGAGUAACACGUGAGUAACCUGCCCUUGACUUUGGGAUAACUUCAGGAAACUGGGGCUAAUACCGGAUAGGAGCUCCUGCUGCAUGGUGGGGGUUGGAAAGUUUCGGCGGUUGGGGAUGGACUCGCGGCUUAUCAGCUUGUUGGUGGGGUAGUGGCUUACCAAGGCUUUGACGGGUAGCCGGCCUGAGAGGGUGACCGGCCACAUUGGGACUGAGAGACGGCCCAGAAUCCUACGGGAGGCAGCAGUGGGGAAUAUUGCAGAAUGGGCGGAAGCCUGAGGCAGAAACGCCGCGUGCGGGAUGACGGCCUUCGGGGGAUAAACAGCUUUCGCCGGUGACGAAGAGUGAGUGACGGUAAUGGGUAAAGAAGCACCGGCUAACUACGUG